Molecule: non-coding RNA, 567 nt
Organism: Lonchura striata (white-rumped munia)
Lineage: Eukaryota; Metazoa; Chordata; Aves; Passeriformes; Estrildidae
Source: RefSeq, a predicted model, not a curated record
CUUGAGUUGAGCUAAGCAGCCCCACAAAUGCAAAGGACUGUGGAAGGAGUUGGGGUCACCUGUAAACGGAGACUGCACCUUUUGGGAGCUGUAAGAAGCCCGGGGCAGGUGUUGCUGUCUGUGCUCACGCCCUCUUGAAGCACCCAUGGAAUGUCACGGGAAUGUUCACCUCCACCUCGGCCCUGGCCACCUCGCUCAUGUCUUUGGCGUUGAGGAUGAGGAGGAAGGCGGGCUUGGGCCCCACCCCCGGGCUGAUCACGAUGCUCAGCACCACCCCUGCAAGAGAGGUUUUUAUCCUGUAUGAUGUUCUCCAGCAGCUCUGCCACUGCAGCCUGUGAGGUGGAGACCUUUUGUUCUUCAAACUCCUGAGGAGUGAUUUGUUUGCAGUAGGAAUACGUUGGCAAGAUGGCACAAAUUUCUUCUUUUUCCUGUUUGCACUGGAAGAAAAAGGGCUCUGCAUGCACUCAACUGAUUCUGUACUGCUUGACACCAACCUGAGCCUUCUCCAUGUACUUGAGGUGAUCCUGCACAGCAACCUGCAGGUAAACUGGGACUUGGAAUAUUUCC